RNAcentral lists this long non-coding RNA (267 nucleotides) under Elaeis guineensis (African oil palm). Its description in RNAcentral is "long non-coding RNA (EGUI_LNC070044)". The record is from RNAcentral. Lineage: Eukaryota; Viridiplantae; Streptophyta; Magnoliopsida; Arecales; Arecaceae.
UGGUGGACCUUUUCGACCAUCGAAGAAGCUGAGAGAAGGAUCUCGUCCAUGGGUGCCAAGGAGUACACAACCGCCAUCACUGCCCCAAUCACCGUCGAGACUUCCCUUACCAAUGCCUCCAGUUGAAACUGUCACAACUGUCACAAUCGUAGGAGUCGUAGCCGCUCCUGCUGAUGAUGUAGGUGUCAUCAUCAAGCCCCUGACUGGGCCAGCCACCAUGGUCCAAGCUUUGUCGGCCCAGGCCGGAACUGAUGGAGGCCGGGCACC